UUAGCCACAGGCAGACAAGCUCAGUGCUCAGGAACAUAAUGGCUGCAGCCCGCGGGCCCAUAUGCUAGCCAUCGGGAGAGGUGGAAGGCCAGCUCUGAUCAUCUCCAGCUGCUCAGGAUACAAUUGAUCAGUCCAAGAGGAUAUGAAUUUCAUAACUCCUUUGCUGAGCUGCCAUCAAGAGCCAUGAAAUAUGACAGGAAGACAGCAGCAUGGACCUGCGUGCGCUCCAUUCACCACACACCAGCAGCAGGUCUGGACAACCCAUUAAAAAAGUGCAUGGAGCAGCUGCCUUGAGCACCAAGGUCACAAGCGAAGGGCCUUCCUACACCUGAGCUAAUCUGAGAACAAAUUUCCCACCAUACCAAGCAGGACAGAGCCCAUCCCUGGGUCUAGGCUGGACACGCACAAGAAAAGCGGCGCUAGCAAGGAGUUAUGCUCUAUGUUUCUGUCUGACUUCAGGGCUUACAAAGGUACAAGGCUGACGGUUUGGAGAGGGGAAACAAUUAUGCGCAUAACUGCUGACACGUUGCUAAAACAGAACAGAUUUCCUGCUUCAGGUUGCAUCUCACUGCUAUAAUCAAGGUGGUACAUGAUGUGAAGGGGGAACGAGCAGGAGCUGGUUGCCCUCCGACAGGGUUAGUCUUGCUUCCCUCACCACUAACCUCACCAAUACAGCUUUUAUCCAGCAACUCACAGGUCAGAGCUCAGCAUGAAUUGUGGCAGCAGCAAAGCAUUUCCGAUGAAAAUUACCUGCGGAAACAAACUUCCAGGGAAGAGAAUCACAGGAAUCCAGUAUCUGACCAACCUAGGAGAACGCAGACUUCUCUCCUUCUAAAGGCUAUUUCAUUGUAACAGCAGUGAUGACAUGAAGUCCUUGUCUUGAAAGCUGUAUUUGAGUCUGAGAUGGGUUAUUACAUAUUCAUAAACCCAUGGUGAAUUUCAUGGUCUCCAUUAAAUUAUACUGUUCAGAAAAAAGAAGAAAAGGAAGGCUAACCAAUUGAUCCAGGCUCAUUCCAGAGUGUCUCAAUAACUGACAACUACAGAGACAGUUCACUGUUUCUUGAUUCCUGCUUAUUCGAUUUUUAAAGAGUUCCCGCAAAUAAACUUUACAGAAGUGGACUUUUGUUUUUACCU
RNAcentral lists this long non-coding RNA (1134 nucleotides) under Struthio camelus australis. RNAcentral's name for it is "lncRNA (ENSSCUG00000009600.1)". Lineage: Eukaryota; Metazoa; Chordata; Aves; Struthioniformes; Struthionidae. The record is from RNAcentral.